CCUACGGGAGGCAGCAGUAGGGAAUAUUGCUCAAUGGGGGAAACCCUGAAGCAGCCACGCCGCGUGGGGGAUGAAGGUCUUCGGAGUGUUAAAUCCUUUUGGUAGAGAAGAAAAUGACGGUAUCUAACGAAUAAGCAACGGCACAGGCCGUUCCAGCAUCCGCCGUCACACGGCGGGUGCAAGCGGUACUCGGAAUCACUUGGGGUAAAGAGCGAGUAGGCGGGAUUGCAAGGCAGAUGGGAAAUUCUCUGGCUUAACCAUAGAACUGCAUUUGAAACUGUUAUUCUAGAGUUUGCGAGAGGUAGGUGGAAUUCUUGGUGUAGCGGUGAAAUGCGUAGAGAUCAAGCAGAAUACUCAUUGCGAAGGCGACCUGCUAGAACAUAACUGACGCUGAUGCGCGAAAGCGUGGGGAUCGAACAGGAUUAGAUACCCUAGUAGUC
Molecule: ribosomal RNA, 440 nt
Filed under: uncultured bacterium
Lineage: Bacteria
Description: partial 16S ribosomal RNA
Rfam family: Bacterial small subunit ribosomal RNA
Source: RNAcentral